RNAcentral lists this ribosomal RNA (779 nucleotides) under uncultured Azospira sp. RNAcentral describes it as "bacterial SSU rRNA". It matches the Rfam family "Bacterial small subunit ribosomal RNA", at positions 1 to 779 of the family's 1533-position model. The record is from RNAcentral. Lineage: Bacteria; Pseudomonadati; Pseudomonadota; Betaproteobacteria; Rhodocyclales; Rhodocyclaceae.
UAGAGUUUGAUCCUGGCUCAGAUUGAACGCUGGCGGCAUGCCUUACACAUGCAAGUCGAACGGCAGCACGGGAGCUUGCUCCUGGUGGCGAGUGGCGAACGGGUGAGUAAUACAUCGGAACGUACCCAGGAGUGGGGGAUAACGUAGCGAAAGUUACGCUAAUACCGCAUAUUCUGUGAGCAGGAAAGCGGGGGAUCGCAAGACCUCGCGCUCUUGGAGCGGCCGAUGUCGGAUUAGCUAGUUGGUGAGGUAAAAGCUCACCAAGGCGACGAUCCGUAGCAGGUCUGAGAGGAUGAUCUGCCACACUGGGACUGAGACACGGCCCAGACUCCUACGGGAGGCAGCAGUGGGGAAUUUUGGACAAUGGGGGCAACCCUGAUCCAGCCAUGCCGCGUGAGUGAAGAAGGCCUUCGGGUUGUAAAGCUCUUUCGGCGGGGAAGAAAUGGCAACGGCUAAUAUCCGUUGUUGAUGACGGUACCCGCAUAAGAAGCACCGGCUAACUACGUGCCAGCAGCCGCGGUAAUACGUAGGGUGCGAGCGUUAAUCGGAAUUACUGGGCGUAAAGCGUGCGCAGGCGGUUUAGUAAGACAGGCGUGAAAUCCCCGGGCUCAACCUGGGAACUGCGCUUGUGACUGCUAGGCUAGAGUACGGCAGAGGGGGGUGGAAUUCCACGUGUAGCAGUGAAAUGCGUAGAGAUGUGGAGGAACACCGAUGGCGAAGGCAGCCCCCUGGGCCGAUACUGACGCUCAUGCACGAAAGCGUGGGGAGCAAACAGGAUU